GACGAACGCUGGCGGCGUGCUUAACACAUGCAAGUCGAACGGAAAGGCCUCUUUCGGGGGGUACUCGAGUGGCGAACGGGUGAGUAACACGUGAGUAACCUGCCCUUGACUUUGGGAUAACUUCAGGAAACUGGGGCUAAUACCGGAUAGGAGCUCCUGCUGCAUGGUGGGGGUUGGAAAGUUUCGGCGGUUGGGGAUGGACUCGCGGCUUAUCAGCUUGUUGGUGGGGUAGUGGCUUACCAAGGCUUUGACGGGUAGCCGGCCUGGGAGGGUGACCGGCCCCAUUGGGACUGAGAUACGGCCCAGACUCCUACGGGAGGCAGCAGUGGGGAAUAUUGCACAAUGGGUGGAAGCCUGAUGCAGCAACGCCGUGUGCGGGAUGACGGCCUUCGGGUUGUAAACCGCUUUCGCUCAUGACGAAGCUUUGUGUGACGGUAGUGGGUAAAGAAGCACCGGCUAACUACGUG
This 467-nucleotide ribosomal RNA is filed under the name uncultured bacterium. Its description in RNAcentral is "partial 16S ribosomal RNA". It matches the Rfam family "Bacterial small subunit ribosomal RNA", at positions 28 to 507 of the family's 1533-position model. The record is from RNAcentral.